RNAcentral lists this ribosomal RNA (223 nucleotides) under uncultured bacterium. RNAcentral's name for it is "partial 16S ribosomal RNA". It matches the Rfam family "Bacterial small subunit ribosomal RNA", at positions 96 to 334 of the family's 1533-position model. The record is from RNAcentral.
UGGCGGACGGGUGAGUAACGCGUGGGGAUCUGUCUCUGGGUGGGGGAUAACGAUGGGAAACUAUCGCUAAUACCGCAUGAAACCCGAGGGUCAAAGGCGCAAGUCGCCUGGAGAGGAACCCGCGUACGAUUAGCUUGUUGGCGGGGUAAAGGCCCACCAAGGCGACGAUCGUUAGCUGGUCUGAGAGGAUGAUCAGCCACACUGGGACUGAGACACGGCCCAG